Molecule: ribosomal RNA, 261 nt
Filed under: Triticum aestivum (bread wheat)
Lineage: Eukaryota; Viridiplantae; Streptophyta; Magnoliopsida; Poales; Poaceae
Description: partial small subunit ribosomal RNA
Source: RNAcentral
UGGUACCUUCGUCGCGGAGUCAUUCUUACUAAAGAUAACCUUAUUAAGAUGAAUUGGCAUGGAAGUACACAAUGUGUCUUUUGUCACCAUGAUGAGACAAUAAAACAUUUAUUCUUUCAAUGCAAAUUGGCUCGUUCUAUACGAUCAGUCAUCCAAAUAGCUUUUGCCUUGUAUCCUCCUUGUAGUGUUGCUAAUGUAUUUGGCAACUGGUUACAUGGGAUUGUCACAGGUUUAGAAUUCUUCUCAGGGUGGGAACGCUAG